AUUGAACGCUGGCGGCAGGCUUAACACAUGCAAGUCGAGCGGGGGGAGGUAGCUUGCUACCGGACCUAGCGGCGGACGGGUGAGUAAUGCUUAGGAAUCUGCCUAUUAGUGGGGGACAACAUCUCGAAAGGGAUGCUAAUACCGCAUACGUCCUACGGGAGAAAGCAGGGGAUCUUCGGACCUUGCGCUAAUAGAUGAGCCUAAGUCGGAUUAGCCAGUUGGUGGGGUAAAGGCCUACCAAGGCGACGAUCUGUAGCGGGUCUGAGAGGAUGGUCCGCCACACUGGGACUGAGAAACGGCCCAGACUCCUACGGGAGGCAGCAGUGGGGAAUAUUGGACAAUGGGGGGAACCCUGAUCCAGCCAUGCCGCGUGUGUGAAGAAGGCCUUAUGGUUGUAAAGCACUUUAAGCGAGGAGGAGGCUACUUUAGUUAAUACCUAGAGAUAGUGGACGUUACUCGCAGAAUAAGCACCGGCUAACUCUGUGCCAGCCGCCGCCGUAA
Molecule: ribosomal RNA, 501 nt
Filed under: uncultured bacterium
Lineage: Bacteria
Description: partial 16S ribosomal RNA
Rfam family: Bacterial small subunit ribosomal RNA
Source: RNAcentral